RNAcentral lists this ribosomal RNA (492 nucleotides) under uncultured bacterium. RNAcentral's name for it is "partial 16S ribosomal RNA". It matches the Rfam family "Bacterial small subunit ribosomal RNA", at positions 28 to 507 of the family's 1533-position model. The record is from RNAcentral.
GAUGAACGCUAGCUACAGGCUUAACACAUGCAAGUCGAGGGGAAACGACAUCGAAAGCUUGCUUUUGAUGGGCGUCGACCGGCGCACGGGUGAGUAACGCGUAUCCAACCUGCCCAUCACUUGGGAAUAACCUUGCGAAAGUAAGACUAAUACCCAAUGACAUCCCACGAAGACAUCUGAAUGGGAUUAAAGAUUUAUCGGUGAUGGAUGGGGAUGCGUCUGAUUAGCUUGUUGGCGGGGUAACGGCCCACCAAGGCAACGAUCAGUAGGGGUUCUGAGAGGAAGGUCCCCCACAUUGGAACUGAGACACGGUCCAAACUCCUACGGGAGGCAGCAGUGAGGAAUAUUGGUCAAUGGGCGAGAGCCUGAACCAGCCAAGUAGCGUGCAGGAUGACGGCCCUAUGGGUUGUAAACUGCUUUUAUAAGGGAAUAAAGUGGGUCUCGUGAGACUUUUUGCAUGUACCUUAUGAAUAAGGGCCGGCUAAUUCCGUG